Molecule: ribosomal RNA, 310 nt
Filed under: uncultured bacterium
Lineage: Bacteria
Description: bacterial SSU rRNA
Rfam family: Bacterial small subunit ribosomal RNA
Source: RNAcentral
AACGAACGCUGGCGGCAUGCCUAACACAUGCAAGUCGAACGAGACCUUCGGGUCUAGUGGCGCACGGGUGCGUAACGCGUGGGAACCUGCCUUUAGGUUCGGAAUAACUCAGAGAAAUUUGAGCUAAUACCGGAUAAUGUCUUCGGACCAAAGAUUUAUCGCCUUUAGAUGGGGCCCCGCGUUGGAUUAGCUAGUUGGUGGGGUAAAGGCCUACCAAGGCGACGAUCCAUAGCUGGUCUGAGAGGAUGAUCAGCCACACUGGGACUGAGACACGGCCCAGACUCCUACGGGAGGCAGCAGUGGGGAAUAU